GUAAUGUAUAGGAUCUACCUAGUAGUACGGAAUAAUUGUUGGAAACGACAACUAAUACCGUAUACGCCCUACGGGGGAAAAAUUUAUUGCUAUUAGAUGAGCCUAUAUUAGAUUAGCUAGUUGGUGGGGUAAUAGCCUACCAAGGUAAUGAUCUAUAGCUGAUCUGAGAGGAUGAUCAGCCACACUGGAACUGAGAUACGGUCCAGACUCCUACGGGAGGCAGCAGUGGGGAAUAUUGGACAAUGGGCGAAAGCCUGAUCCAGCCAUGCCGCAUGAGUGAAGAAGGCCUUUGGGUUGUAAAGCUCUUUUAGUGAGGAAGAUAAUGACGGUACUCACAGAAGAAGUCCUGGCUAACUCCGUGCCAGCAGCCGCGGUAAUACGGAGAGGGCUAGCGUUAUUCGGAAUUAUUGGGCGUAAAGGGCGCGUAGGCUGGUUAAUAAGUUAAAAGUGAAAUCCCGAGGCUUAACCUUGGAAUUGCUUUUAAAACUAUUAAUCUAGAGAUUGAAAGAGGAUAGGGGAAUUCCUGAUGUAGAGGUAAAAUUCGUAAAUAUUAGGAGGAACACCAGUGGCGAAGGCGUCUAUCUGGUUCAAAUCUGACGCUGAAGCGCGAAGGCGUGGGGAGCAAACAGGAUUAGAUACCCUGGUAGUCCACGCUGUAAACGAUGAAUGUUAAAUAUGGGGAGUUUACUUUCUGUAUUACAGCUAACGCGUUAAACAUUCCGCCUGGGGACUACGGUCGCAAGAUUAAAACUCAAAGGAAUUGACGGGGACCCGCACAAGCGGUGGAGCAUGUGGUUUAAUCGAUGCAACG
Molecule: ribosomal RNA, 811 nt
Filed under: Wolbachia pipientis
Lineage: Bacteria; Pseudomonadati; Pseudomonadota; Alphaproteobacteria; Rickettsiales; Anaplasmataceae
Description: bacterial SSU rRNA
Rfam family: Bacterial small subunit ribosomal RNA
Source: RNAcentral